CAAUAGCGUAUAUUAAAGUUGUUGCAGUUAAAAAGCUCGUAGUUGGAUUUCUGGUGGGAGCGAUCGGUCUGGCGCUUAGCGCGAGUACUUGCAUCGUCUCCGGCUAUCCUUGGGGAGAGUCUGUCUGGCAUUAAGUUGUCGGGCAGAGGAUCCUCAUCGUUUACUGUGAAAAAAUUAGAGUGUUCAAAGCAGGCUUAUGCCGUUGAAUAUAUUAGCAUGGAAUAAUAAGAUAGGACUUUGGUACUAUUUUGUUGGUUUGCGCACCAAAGUAAUGAUUAAUAGGGACAGUUGGGGGUAUUCGUAUUCCGUUGUCAGAGGUGAAAUUCUUGGAUUUACGGAAGACGAACUACUGCGAAAGCAUUUACCAAGGAUGUUUUCAUUAA
This 383-nucleotide ribosomal RNA is filed under the name uncultured eukaryote. RNAcentral describes it as "partial 18S ribosomal RNA". It matches the Rfam family "Eukaryotic small subunit ribosomal RNA", at positions 592 to 976 of the family's 1831-position model. The record is from RNAcentral.